Molecule: long non-coding RNA, 754 nt
Organism: Musa acuminata AAA Group (dessert banana)
Lineage: Eukaryota; Viridiplantae; Streptophyta; Magnoliopsida; Zingiberales; Musaceae
Exons: 2
Source: RefSeq, a predicted model, not a curated record
GCUCUAUGACCGACCCCAACUAUCCAUGCAUGAGAGUGGACUUCCCUAGAUUGUAACACCCCUCAUUUCCGAAUGUUCGUAUAAAUUUUUGGUGAUAAUGUAAGCAUCUAUUUUAAUUGACAAAAGAAAUAGAGUAUGAAUCAGAGGUAACUUAUUUUUAAGAUUUGGGAGAUCUGUUCAAAAAAAAAAAAAAAAAAAAGAAAGAAUCUGAGGACCUAUAUGUAAACCCUAAGGACCUAAUCGUGAAUAUGAUAAAAAUGAGGACUAAACUGCAAAAUGCACCAAAUGACAAAUUCCACCGCUUAAGCCUCUCUGCCUUCGUUGUUAAGGAAGCAGAGGAGGCAGCUCGUGGGUGAUCAGGGAAAGAAAAGAAGAAGAAGAAGAAGAAGAAGAAGAAGAAGGAGAAGAGAAAGAAAAUUUGGGGCUUUUAGGGUUUUUGCUUUAAUCUUGUUACUUCGGGUCAAAAUUUGCAAAGGAUAGCGUAACUCUUGCUUAAAUGUUAAGAAUGGGCUGAGGCAGCGGAAAGUUUAGAAGACGUUGGGCAGAACUUUUGUUAGCAUAUAUGUAGUUGUGUAUAAGCUACCUUGUAUCUAAUGAAAUGUGACUAUGAAUCUAAACCUGUGGAUUUUGUGUAAGUUAAAGGAUCCCUCAUGUAUAGGGUUUUGGAAUGUUAAAUUAAAUUUGUGUAAGGAUAUGAACUUAUGGUAAAUCGAUGAUUGUGGUGACUGCAUAGAUUUCCCCACUUGUGGAUUUA